RNAcentral lists this ribosomal RNA (924 nucleotides) under Triticum aestivum (bread wheat). Its description in RNAcentral is "partial small subunit ribosomal RNA". Lineage: Eukaryota; Viridiplantae; Streptophyta; Magnoliopsida; Poales; Poaceae. The record is from RNAcentral.
AUGUGUGAGAUAAAGGAGUUCAGCCUUCCAGCCCAACUGGGCCUCUCAUCGGCCCAACCUCCCCUUAGCCCCGCUGGCCUCUUGAGCCUGACUCCCAGGCCGGCCCAACAUCUCCUAGCCAGGCCUGCCCGUUUCCCACCAAACCCUAGGCCCGACCAACUCCCUCUCGAUCUCUCCCUCUGCCCGCCGCCACCACGCUCGAUCACCUCGUGCUUCUCUCUUCCCCUUGCUCCCGCACGCAUCGCCAAGGAGAGCCGUUCCCCAGCACGCGCGAGCCCCACGCCCCCGCCUCCUUCUCCCACCAGCGCCGCCGUCCUUCUCCUCCACCGCCAGCCGUCCGCUCUAUCCCGCCGUUCGCCGGAGCCCUUCCUCCGCCUCUGCUCCGGCCUCCUACGACAGCCGCGCCGGCGCCCCAAGCUCUCCUCUCCGUCUUGCCUUCCUCCAUCGACCUCGCGCCCGUCUCCUCGACCGGACGGCCACCUCGCCGGUGACCAAUCGCCCCGCCACCAAGCAGUCGCGCGCCCCUGCUCCCUUUCUCCUCCUCGCCGUUGGUUCUGCCCGUGCCGGAGCAUGCGAGCAGCUGUAGCUCGACCCAGCGACCUUCACCGCCGCCCCGACAUCUCCAGCGCCGCCGCACCCCUCUGCUACCCCGUCCCCGUAGCGCUAUGCUUCUCCACCGGAGCUCUUCUCCCGUCCGUCGUCGCUGUCCAAGAUCAGCAGGUCACCACAGGCGCCAACCUCCGCUUUCUCCCUGGUCAACUUGAUGCCAGGGCCGACCCCAAGGUCUCCUCUGCCAUCGUCAUCAGCCGCAGCUGCAGGUCCGGCAGAACCGUGCCUACCAUGGCCCUCCUCGCGCCGCCUUACUGCAGUGCACCAGCUCGGACCCCCACCUUCGAACUGAGGCCUUUGUGGCACUUCUUUUGA